RNAcentral lists this ribosomal RNA (400 nucleotides) under uncultured Methanosaeta sp. Its description in RNAcentral is "bacterial SSU rRNA". It matches the Rfam family "Archaeal small subunit ribosomal RNA", at positions 939 to 1338 of the family's 1478-position model. The record is from RNAcentral. Lineage: Archaea; Methanobacteriati; Methanobacteriota; Methanomicrobia; Methanotrichales; Methanotrichaceae.
ACAGCAAUAUGAAGGUCAGGCUGAAGACCUUACCCGAUUAGCUGAGAGGUGGUGCAUGGCCGUCGUCAGUUCGUACUGUGAAGCAUCCUGUUAAGUCAGGCAACGAGCGAGACCCACGUCCACAGUUGCCAGCAUACCCUCCGGGGUGAUGGGUACACUGUGGAGACCGCCGCUGCUAAAGCGGAGGAAGGAGUGGGCAACGGUAGGUCAGUAUGCCCCGAAUCUCCCGGGCUACACGCGGGCUACAAUGGUUGGUACAAUGGGCAUCUACCCCGAAAGGGGAAGGAAAUCUCUUAAAGCCAAUCGUAGUUCGGAUUGAGGGCUACAACUCGCCCUCAUGAAGCUGGAAUCCGUAGUAAUCGCGUUUCAACAGAACGCGGUGAAUACGUCCCUGCUCCUU